RNAcentral lists this transfer RNA (84 nucleotides) under Zygosaccharomyces rouxii. RNAcentral's name for it is "tRNA-Ser". It matches the Rfam family "tRNA". From Rfam's summary of the family: Transfer RNA (tRNA) molecules are approximately 80 nucleotides in length. Their secondary structure includes four short double-helical elements and three loops (D, anti-codon, and T loops). Further hydrogen bonds mediate the characteristic L-shaped molecular structure. tRNAs have two regions of fundamental functional importance: the anti-codon, which is responsible for specific mRNA codon recognition, and the 3' end, to which the tRNAs corresponding amino acid is attached (by aminoacyl-tRNA synthetases). tRNAs cope with the degeneracy of the genetic code in two manners: having more than one tRNA (with a specific anti-codon) for a particular amino acid; and 'wobble' base-pairing, i.e. permitting non-standard base-pairing at the 3rd anti-codon position. Lineage: Eukaryota; Fungi; Ascomycota; Saccharomycetes; Saccharomycetales; Saccharomycetaceae. The record is from RNAcentral.
GACACUAUGGCCGAGUGGUUAAGGCGUGAGACUCGAAUUAUCUCUUGGGCUCUGCCCGCGCAAGUUCGAAUCCUGCUGGUGUCG